UGAGGAAUAUUGGUCAAUGGGCGGGAGCCUGACCAGCCAAGUCGCGUGAGGGAAGACGGUCCUAUGGAUUGUAAACCUCUUUUGUCGGGGAGCAAAGAGGCCACGUGUGGUCAAAAGCGAGAGUACCCG
This 129-nucleotide ribosomal RNA is filed under the name uncultured bacterium. Its description in RNAcentral is "partial 16S ribosomal RNA". It matches the Rfam family "Bacterial small subunit ribosomal RNA", at positions 355 to 481 of the family's 1533-position model. The record is from RNAcentral.